RNAcentral lists this ribosomal RNA (259 nucleotides) under uncultured Meriderma sp. RNAcentral describes it as "partial 18S ribosomal RNA". It matches the Rfam family "Eukaryotic small subunit ribosomal RNA", at positions 28 to 222 of the family's 1831-position model. Lineage: Eukaryota; Evosea; Eumycetozoa; Stemonitida. The record is from RNAcentral.
AUGCUUCUCCUAAAGACUAAGCCAUGCAUGUCUUCGAAUAAGAGGAAGCAAUUCUCUCUGAAUCUGCGUACGGCUCCGCACACCAGUUGUAAACCGAAGCAAGCCAGACUGGUCUCGACGCCUCGCAAGGGGCUAGGGGCCAGUCUACAAGGAUAACCCUGGUAAUUCUGAGGCUAAUACGUGACACUAACCUGCUGACUGGGUUCGCUCGGGAGGCGGGGGAUGUGCGAUCGUCGGGCCAAACAAACCGGAAAGAGCG